RNAcentral lists this ribosomal RNA (375 nucleotides) under Sphaerechinus granularis. RNAcentral describes it as "eukaryotic LSU rRNA". It matches the Rfam family "Eukaryotic large subunit ribosomal RNA", at positions 1 to 364 of the family's 3401-position model. The record is from RNAcentral. Lineage: Eukaryota; Metazoa; Echinodermata; Echinoidea; Temnopleuroida; Toxopneustidae.
NUCGACCUCGGAUCGGACGAGACCACCCGCUGAAUUUAAGCAUAUCACUAAGCGGAGGAAAAGAAACUAACCAGGAUUCCCCCAGUAGCGGCGAGUGAAGCGGGAAGAGCCCAUCGCCGAAUCCCAGCGCCCUCAGGCUCUGGGAGCUGUGGCGUGAGGCGGCUUCGGGCGCGCGAGUCCACGACGCCGAGGUCCUCCUGAUCGGGGCACCUUACCCAGAGCGGGUGUCAGCGCGUUCGGGCGCCGGGACUCAAGGGCCUGGAGCCACCAAGAGUCGGGUAGUUUUGGAAUGCUGCCCAAAGAGGGGUGGUGAACUCCAUCCAAGGCUAAAUACUGGCACGAGACCGAUAGCAGACAAGUACCGUGAGGGAAAGU